RNAcentral lists this ribosomal RNA (253 nucleotides) under uncultured bacterium. RNAcentral describes it as "partial 16S ribosomal RNA". It matches the Rfam family "Bacterial small subunit ribosomal RNA", at positions 524 to 776 of the family's 1533-position model. The record is from RNAcentral.
UACGAAGGGGGCUAGCGUUGUUCGGAAUUACUGGGCGUAAAGCGCGCGCAGGCGGCUAUCCAAGUCAGUGGUGAAAGCCCGGAGCUCAACUCCGGAACUGCCAUUGAAACUGUUUAGCUUGAGGAUGAGAGAGGUGAGUGGAAUUCCAAGUGUAGAGGUGAAAUUCGUAGAUAUUGGGAAGAACACCGGUGGCGAAGGCGGCUCACUGGCUCAUUACUGACGCUCAGGCGCGAUAGCGUGGGGAUCAAACAGG